UGCUCGAGUGGCGAACGGGUGAGUAACACGUGGGUGAUCUGCCCUGCACUUCGGGAUAAGCUUGGGAAACUGGGUCUAAUACCGGAUAGGACCAUCGUUUAGUGUCGGUGGUGGAAAGUUUUUUCGGUGUGGGAUGAGCUCGCGGCCUAUCAGCUUGUUGGUGGGGUAAUGGCCUACCAAGGCGUCGACGGGUAGCCGGCCUGAGAGGGUGUACGACCACAUUGGGACUGAGAUACGGCCCAG
Molecule: ribosomal RNA, 243 nt
Filed under: uncultured Actinomycetales bacterium
Lineage: Bacteria; Bacillati; Actinomycetota; Actinomycetes; Actinomycetales
Description: partial 16S ribosomal RNA
Rfam family: Bacterial small subunit ribosomal RNA
Source: RNAcentral